UCGCUUUGGCCUCCUACGUGGAGCAUUGGCUGUUUCUUCCUUCUCUUUGUUGUCUUCAUUCUCUCCACCAGCUUGGGAAGUUUCUGUGCGUUCUGUGUUGGUCUUCUUCUCUACCUUCGCCUCCACCUUAGCCUGCAGAAGAACAGACUUGGUUAUGAGCAUGAAUGUGAAUGAAAAAUACCCCCAUGAAAUUAAUAUGAAUGAGCAUGAAAUAAGUUUUACUACUUACAGGUUUCUUCCCGCCGAAUAUGAGCCUAAAGAAAAUUGUUACGAAAACAACCACAACGGAUGCAAGAAUUCCAAUAGUCAGAUUUGGUUGCUUCUCCCCCUUUUCAAUGAUUUCCUGUAGAGAAGCAUAAAGUAUAAGUCACAAUCCAUCCAGUAAGUGAAUGGUAAUGGAUACCAAAAGAGGACGAAAAUGUAAGUUCAUUAUUUGAAGCUUUAAUACUUACAAUAAUCUUAUCUUUCUGGCCACUCAGGAAGGGAAUGUCUGCGAUCUUGUACAAGAGGUCAAAUGCCUUCUUCUGUAAGGUAAAAAAAUAAAAAAUUAACAUCAUGCAUAAGAAAGAAAAGAAGGCUUGUAAAUGUAAGAGAGUAGAGUAAAUGGAAGGAUUUUCGGUACCUGGUAGCCAGCAAUACCCUCUGACUCAGCUGCUGCCUCCUCUUCAGCCUUCUGCUUCUCUUUCUCAAUGUUAAACUUGGGUUUCCAUGUAGUUUCACGAUAGGAUUCUGCAAUCUUAUCAUCCUUAGCUAUAAGAACAUUAUCAAAUAGAAUGCCGUCCUGCAUUGUCCAAAUUUCAAUACCAAUAGCAGCAAUAGGCUCAAAGUCAGGUUUCUCAAGUUCAAAGUACUCUGGGUUUGGAAUCUCCUGAGGCUUCCAUAUACCCUUAUAAGCUGGGUUAUCAAUGAAGGGGGCACUCCAUUUUCCCUUAUAAGCUGGGUUCCUCUUCGUUGGCCUCUUCCACUCACCACAACCAGGGGCUGUUUCACACUUUGGGUUUUCAAUUUUGGGAGCUUCCCAUUCACCAUCCUCCUCAUCAUCCCAAUCUUCAGGUUUUGUUGCCUCCGGGUCAUCUAUUUCCUCUGGCUCGUCGUCCAGCCAUCCUUCAGGUUUCUCAGCUUCUUCAUCGAUAAUUUCCAUGGGUGCAUCCUCAUCCCAGUCCUCUGGCUUUACAGCUUCUGGGUCAGGAAUCUUGGCUCUCUCGUCCCAGUCUUCGGGUUUGUUAUCAUCAGGAUCAGGGAUUGUCUUGGAAGGGAUAAGAGAAGGCUCAAAAUCCUCCUCGGAUAGGAAGUUAGCCUUUUUCUUCUCCUCGCCGUCAACUAGAAUUCUCAACUCAUUAUCAGGCUUUAGAAUGGCAGUGUACACAUGAGAUAGUUUGUCA
This 1382-nucleotide long non-coding RNA is filed under the name Medicago truncatula (barrel medic). Its description in RNAcentral is "long non-coding RNA (MTRU_LNC001130)". The record is from RNAcentral. Lineage: Eukaryota; Viridiplantae; Streptophyta; Magnoliopsida; Fabales; Fabaceae.